UGUCAAUGUGCUUAGUGAAAUUCAGCUU
Molecule: non-coding RNA, 28 nt
Filed under: Bombyx mori (domestic silkworm)
Lineage: Eukaryota; Metazoa; Arthropoda; Insecta; Lepidoptera; Bombycidae
Source: RNAcentral